Molecule: ribosomal RNA, 256 nt
Filed under: uncultured bacterium
Lineage: Bacteria
Description: partial 16S ribosomal RNA
Rfam family: Bacterial small subunit ribosomal RNA
Source: RNAcentral
UAAUACGGAAGGUGCAAGCGUUGUUCGGAAUGACUGGGCGUAAAGCGCACGUAGGCGGGUUCGUAAGUCGGAUGUGAAAGCCCCAGGCUCAACCUGGGAACGGCACCCGAAACUUCGAAUCUUGAAUGCUUGAGAGGUUGGUGGAAUUCCUGGUGUAGGAGUGAAAUCCGUAGAUAUCAGGAGGAACACCGGAGGCGAAGGCGGCCAACUGGUGGUGCAUUGACGCUAAGGUGCGAAAGCGUGGGGAGCAAACAGG